UGUGGUUUAAUUCGACGCAACGCGAAGAACCUUACCAAGGCUUGACAUCCCGAUGACCGGUGCAGAGAUGCGCCUUUCUUCGGAACAUCGGUGACAGGUGGUGCAUGGUUGUCGUCAGCUCGUGUCGUGAGAUGUUGGGUUAAGUCCCGCAACGAGCGCAACCCUUAUCUUCAGUAGCCAGCAGGCAAAGCUGGGCACUCUGGAGAGACUGCCGUGGAUAACACGGAGGAAGGUGGGGAUGACGUCAAAUCAUCAUGCCCCUUAUGUCUUGGGCUACACACGUGCUACAAUGGCUGGCACAGCGGGAAGCGGAGGGGCGACCCUGAGCGGAUCCCUUGAAAGCCGGUCCCAGUUCGGAUUGCAGUCUGCAACUCGACUGCAUGAAGUUGGAAUCGCUAGUAAUCGCGGAUCAGCCAAGCCGCGGUGAAUACGUUCCCGGGCCUU
This 444-nucleotide ribosomal RNA is filed under the name uncultured Thermovirga sp. RNAcentral describes it as "partial 16S ribosomal RNA". It matches the Rfam family "Bacterial small subunit ribosomal RNA", at positions 940 to 1382 of the family's 1533-position model. The record is from RNAcentral. Lineage: Bacteria; Thermotogati; Synergistota; Synergistia; Synergistales; Thermovirgaceae.